GCGAGUGUAGCUCAAUUGGUUAGAGCAUCGAGCUUAUACCUCGGGGGUUCCAGGUUCGAGUCCUGGCACUCGCA
Molecule: transfer RNA, 74 nt
Filed under: Candidatus Azambacteria bacterium
Lineage: Bacteria; Candidatus Azamiibacteriota
Description: tRNA-Ile
Rfam family: tRNA
About the family: Transfer RNA (tRNA) molecules are approximately 80 nucleotides in length.
Source: RNAcentral